AUCCUUCGGUUCAUGAGAAUGAUGAUUGGUGCGUUCACGACCUCUUCGUGAUAGGUGCUGCCUUCACUUGUUACGCUGAGCGCCUCAGCCUUUCUGAUC
This 99-nucleotide small nucleolar RNA is filed under the name Oryzias javanicus (javanese ricefish). RNAcentral's name for it is "Small nucleolar RNA U13 (ENSOJAG00000007920.1)". It matches the Rfam family "Small nucleolar RNA U13". Lineage: Eukaryota; Metazoa; Chordata; Actinopteri; Beloniformes; Adrianichthyidae. The record is from Rfam by way of RNAcentral.